RNAcentral lists this ribosomal RNA (363 nucleotides) under uncultured Sphingobacteriales bacterium. RNAcentral's name for it is "bacterial SSU rRNA". It matches the Rfam family "Bacterial small subunit ribosomal RNA", at positions 1022 to 1382 of the family's 1533-position model. Lineage: Bacteria; Pseudomonadati; Bacteroidota; Sphingobacteriia; Sphingobacteriales. The record is from RNAcentral.
CGGACACUCUUCAAGGGUGCUGCAUGGUUGUCGUCAGCUCGUGCCGUGAGGUGUCGGGUUAAGUCCCAUAACGAGCGCAACCCUUACCGUUAGUUACCAUCAGGUUAAGCUGGGGGACUCUAGCGGGACUGCCACCGUAAGGUGAGAGGAAGGUGGGGAUGACGUCAAAUCAGCACGGCCCUUAUGUCCAGGGCUACACACGUGUUACAAUGGCCAGUACAAAGGGCAGCUACCGGGUGACCGGAUGCUAAUCUACUAAAGCUGGUCUCAGUUCGGAUCGAAGUCUGCAACCCGACUUCGUGAAGCUGGAUUCGCUAGUAAUCGCGCAUCAGCCGUGGCGCGGUGAAUACGUUCCCGGGCCUU